UGAGGAAUAUUGGGCAAUGCCCGCAAGGGUGACCCAGCAACGCCGCGUGGAGGAUGAAUGUCGUAAGAUUGUAAACUCCUGUUAGAGGGGAAGAAUAGUACCGGUUGGACCGGUAUAUGACUGUACCCUCAGAGAAAGCCCCGGCUAACUACGUGCCAGCAGCCGCGGUAAUACGAAGGGGGCUAGCGUUGCUCGGAAUCACUGGGCGUAAAGCGCACGUAGGCGGACUCUUAAGUCGAUGGUGAAAUCCUGGAGCUCAACUCCAGAACUGCCUUCGAUACUGGGAGUCUUGAGUUCGGGAGAGGUGAGUGGAACUGCGAGUGUAGAGGUGAAUUCGUAGAUAUUCGCAAGAACACCAGUGGCGAAGGCGGCUCACUGGCCCGAUACUGACGCUGAGGUGCGAAAGCGUGGGGAGCAAACA
This 421-nucleotide ribosomal RNA is filed under the name uncultured bacterium. RNAcentral describes it as "bacterial SSU rRNA". It matches the Rfam family "Bacterial small subunit ribosomal RNA", at positions 355 to 774 of the family's 1533-position model. The record is from RNAcentral.